RNAcentral lists this ribosomal RNA (301 nucleotides) under uncultured bacterium. RNAcentral's name for it is "partial 16S ribosomal RNA". It matches the Rfam family "Bacterial small subunit ribosomal RNA", at positions 509 to 808 of the family's 1533-position model. The record is from RNAcentral.
CAGUCGCCGCGGUAAUACGUAGGUGGCAAGCGUUGUCCGGAAUUAUUGGGCGUAAAGGGCUCGCAGGCGGUUUCUUAAGUCUGAUGUGAAAGCCCCCGGCUCAACCGGGGAGGGUCAUUGGAAACUGGGAAACUUGAGUGCAGAAGAGGAGAGUGGAAUUCCACGUGUAGCGGUGAAAUGCGUAGAGAUGUGGAGGAACACCAGUGGCGAAGGCGACCCUCUGGUCUGUAACUGACGCUGAGGAGCGAAAGCGUGGGGAGCGAACAGGAUUAGAUACCCGCGUAGUCCCUGUCUCUUAACA